UACGUAGGGGGCAAGCGUUGACCGGAAUCAUUGGGCGUAAAGCGCGUGUAGGCGGUUCGGUAAGUCCGCUGUGAAAGUCGGGGGCUCAACCCUCGGAUGCCGGUGGAUACUGUCGGACUAGAGUACGGAAGAGGCGAGUGGAAUUCCUGGUGUAGCGGUGAAAUGCGCAGAUAUCAGGAGGAACACCAAUUGCGAAGGCAGCUCGCUGGGACGUUACUGACGCUGAGACGCGAAAGCGUGGGGAGCAAACAGG
RNAcentral lists this ribosomal RNA (253 nucleotides) under uncultured bacterium. RNAcentral's name for it is "partial 16S ribosomal RNA". It matches the Rfam family "Bacterial small subunit ribosomal RNA", at positions 524 to 776 of the family's 1533-position model. The record is from RNAcentral.